Molecule: ribosomal RNA, 470 nt
Filed under: Oxyrrhis marina
Lineage: Eukaryota; Dinophyceae; Oxyrrhinales; Oxyrrhinaceae
Description: partial Bacterial large subunit ribosomal RNA
Rfam family: Bacterial large subunit ribosomal RNA
Source: RNAcentral
GGGAAGGCGUAGGGAAACCGAGUCUUAAUAGGGCGAUUUAGUUGCUGGGCUUAGACCCGAAACCAGGCGAUCUAUCCAUGGCCAGUGUGAAGGUUGAGUAACAUCAACUGGAGGCGCGAACCCACCUAUGUUGAAAAAUGGGGGGAUGAGCUGUGGAUCGGAGUGAAAGGCUAAUCAAGCCCGGAGAUAGCUGGUUCUCCUCGAAAGCUAUUUAGGUAGCGCCUCGUGUAUUACUAUUGGGGGUAGAGCACUGUUAUGGCUAGGGGUCAUGGCGACUUACCAAACCAUUGCAAACUCCGAAUACCGAUGAGUGCGAGCUUGGGAGACAGACGUCGGGUGCUAACGUCCGGCGUCAAGAGGGAAACAACCCAGACCGCCAGCUAAGGUCCCAAAGAUUGGCUAAGUGGAAAACGAAGUGGGAAGGCACAGACAGCCAGGAGGUUGGCUUAGAAGCAGCCACCCUUUAAAGA